AUGAGAAGUGAAACAUCUUAUACCAUCUUCAGCAGUCCCAAUUUUCAAAGCAGUUUUUCUGCCCAAAUCAGACCACAACAUAGCCUAGACUUGCAGUUGUUUGUGCAAUUUUUCUUAGGACUCCAUCAUAGGCUGCUCCUGUUGGUCUCUUAUUAUAUGCAGAACGCUGAACCAAAGCAUGCACAUUGGUCUGCUAAAGUGGAUAUUGGAGGCCAUAAUAUCAUCUGGUCUCCAACCAUGACAAAAAUUCUCUCGUGGAGUCAUUCUGCCAUGCAGCGACAUACAAAGUAUGCUAUUAUCAUCUGGGGCCUACCAAAGCCUUCGUCUUAG
RNAcentral lists this ribosomal RNA (330 nucleotides) under Triticum aestivum (bread wheat). Its description in RNAcentral is "partial small subunit ribosomal RNA". The record is from RNAcentral. Lineage: Eukaryota; Viridiplantae; Streptophyta; Magnoliopsida; Poales; Poaceae.